GACGAACGCUGGCGGCGUGCUUAACACAUGCAAGUCGAACGGAAAGGCCCUGCUUUUGUGGGGUGCUCGAGUGGCGAACGGGUGAGUAACACGUGAGUAACCUGCCCUUGACUUUGGGAAUACUUCAGGAAACUGGGGCUAAUACCGGAUAGGAGCUCCUGCUGCAUGGUGGGGGUUGGAAAGUUUCGGCGGUUGGGGAUGGACUCGCGGCUUAUCAGCUUGUUGGUGGGGUAGUGGCUUACCAAGGCUUUGACGGGUAGCCGGCCUGAGAGGGUGACCGGCCACAUUGGGACUGAGAUACGGCCCAGACUCCUACGGGAGGCAGCAGUGGGGAAUAUUGCACAAUGGGCGGAAGCCUGAUGCAGCAACGCCGCGUGCGGGAUGACGGCCUUCGGGUUGUAAACCGCUUUCGCCUGUGACGAAGCGUGAGUGACGGUAAUGGGUAAAGAAGCACCGGCUAACUACGUG
Molecule: ribosomal RNA, 468 nt
Filed under: uncultured bacterium
Lineage: Bacteria
Description: partial 16S ribosomal RNA
Rfam family: Bacterial small subunit ribosomal RNA
Source: RNAcentral